RNAcentral lists this long non-coding RNA (1137 nucleotides) under Brachypodium distachyon (stiff brome). RNAcentral describes it as "long non-coding RNA (BDIS_LNC004262)". Lineage: Eukaryota; Viridiplantae; Streptophyta; Magnoliopsida; Poales; Poaceae. The record is from RNAcentral.
CCCGUUGGCCAGCUAUAGUGACCAGUACUUCAACACAUGUGGAUUUAUCAAUUUACUCUAACCUAGAAGUUCAAAUUUAUUAAUCUGUACACGUCAUGUUCUAUGGACGUUUGUGAUAUUUUGCUUUCUUUUCUUUUUUUUUAACUUGUGUGCAUCUUAACAUGCCGAUGAGUAUCAAAUCCUCGUCUCCGGUCUGCAAGUAGGGGAAAUAUCCAGUGAAAACUCUCAUCCGGUGAAAACCUGAAAACUCUCGCUGUGAACCGUUGGAUCGGGAAUGUAUGGCUCAGAUCAAAGGUGGGAUUGAAAUCAGCCACUUAAACGUACCCUUGCGCAAAACCCCCUCCUUUUAUGUAGAAACUCGGUAAUGAUUAGGCAGCUGGAAAAUGAUUCGUCUUCUCCAAUCCGUUCCAAUCGACCAUGGAGCUGCGUCUGCCUCCAGUCGCCGGUGCUGGCCCUCCGCCGCCUACCUCUCCGACAACCCCCACAACAUUGCGCCCUCCUACGGCGCGUGUCCAACGCUCAUGUUUUCCUGCCCUCCGCCGUCUAUGUUUAGGCAUACCCGGACCUCCUACAGCCAUGUUCGGGAGUGAUCGCCCUUCAGAACAUGCUUCACUACCGCUCUUCCUAAGAAACACCAUCGACGGAUCUCUGCGGCUCUGCCCCCUUCCGUGCACCUGCCUCCUAGCAGCAGCCAGCAGUACACAGCUAAGCAUUGGGAUUCAUUGAUUCAAAUUGACAACUGCAAUGGUUUGUAAGAUCUGGCCUCAGGUUAAGGGGAAUUCUACUCUAGAACACACCAAUUUGUUGGCGAUAGCCGUUCCUCCCAUCCACCCUCACAGCUAUCCAGUUCAUUGUUCUUCCGUUCCAAGCCAAAAUUACAAGCCGGUCGGUCCAACAGAAUGUAAAGAGCUAUUACAUGGUCUCACUGGACCCAAUCUUGGCUAGCAAGCCAGGCCGGUAAGCGUUUCCAUCUCUUGGGCCGCGGUGCCGGCCCAGUUGUUUCCACCUCCUGUUCCUUGGCGUCGCCUGGUGGAGAAGGGUUGCUGACAUCCCCCCCUCCUUGAGACCCAGCUUGACCCCAAGCUGGAGCGAAUGGAAAGCGUUGAUGGAGAUUGAGCAAAUCUUCCCAAGUGCUGC